Molecule: ribosomal RNA, 489 nt
Filed under: uncultured bacterium
Lineage: Bacteria
Description: partial 16S ribosomal RNA
Rfam family: Bacterial small subunit ribosomal RNA
Source: RNAcentral
AUUGAACGCUGGCGGCAGGCCUAACACAUGCAAGUCGAACGGUAACAGGAAGCAGCUUGCUGCUUUGCUGACGAGUGGCGGACGGGUGAGUAAUGUCUGGGAAACUGCCGAUGGAGGGGGAUAACUACUGGAAACGGUAGCUAAUACCGCAUAACGUCGCAAGACCAAAGAGGGGGACCUUAGGGCCUCUUGCCAUCGGAUGUGCCCAGAUGGGAUUAGCUAGUAGGUGGGGUAACGGCUCACCUAGGCGACGAUCCCUAGCUGGUCUGAGAGGAUGACCAGCCACACUGGAACUGAGACACGGUCCAGACUCCUACGGGAGGCAGCAGUGGGGAAUAUUGCACAAUGGGCGCAAGCCUGAUGCAGCCAUGCCGCGUGUAUGAAGAAGGCCUUCGGGUUGUAAAGUACUUUCAGCGGGGAGGAAGGGAGUAAAGUUAAUACCUUUGCUCAUUGACGUUACCCGCAGAAGAAGCACCGGCUAACUCCGUG